GACGAACGCUGGCGGCGUGCUUAACACAUGCAAGUCGAACGGAAAGGCCUCUUUCGGGGGGUACUCGAGUGGCGAACGGGUGAGUAACACGUGAGUAACCUGCCCUUGACUUUGGGAUAACUUCAGGAAACUGGGGCUAAUACCGGAUAGGAGCUCCUGCUGCAUGGUGGGGGUUGGAAAGUUUCGGCGGUUGGGGAUGGACUCGCGGCUUAUCAGCUUGUUGGUGGGGUAGUGGCUUACCAAGGCUUUGACGGGUAGCCGGCCUGAGAGGGUGACCGGCCACAUUGGGACUGAGAUACGGCCCAGACUCCUACGGGAGGCAGCAGUGGGGAAUAUUGCACAAUGGGCGAAAGCCUGAUGCAGCAACGCCGCGUGAGGGACGACGGCCUUCGGGUUGUAAACCUCUUUUAGCAGGGAAGAAGCGAAAGUGACGGUACCUGCAGAAAAAGCGCCGGCUAACUACGUG
RNAcentral lists this ribosomal RNA (466 nucleotides) under uncultured bacterium. Its description in RNAcentral is "partial 16S ribosomal RNA". It matches the Rfam family "Bacterial small subunit ribosomal RNA", at positions 28 to 507 of the family's 1533-position model. The record is from RNAcentral.